Long non-coding RNA from Exaiptasia diaphana, 633 nucleotides. RefSeq lists it as uncharacterized. The transcript is spliced from 3 exons. The record is from RefSeq and is a predicted model, not a curated record. NCBI's taxonomy places the organism in Eukaryota, Metazoa, Cnidaria, Anthozoa, Actiniaria, Aiptasiidae.
ACAACCCUGAAAUUAUCUAAUUAUCGAAAAAAGAAAMCUUCAGCCACGCGACAUCGAGCUGAGAGAAUAAUAAUGAACCCAAGAAUCAUUUUAUUAGCUUUUCUUUGUCUCGCAGUUAUCUUCAACAUGGGAGGUGGAUUGCCUUUGCAAGGUAGAUCUCUAAUGGAGUUAUUGGAUAGCAAGCCAGUCGGGUAUUUYGACCCGGASUUAAAAAAAGCUGUAAAAAAGCUUAUGUUGACAACAGUAUCAGUCGAUUAAGUACUUGAGAUUGGCGGUAACCGCAAAGACCCAAGGACCAGCUAUUUGUACUCAAAUACAAUAGCUGGUUAGUUGUGCUCUAACAAAUGGUUUUUUAACUGAUCGGCGGCAUUAGAAGYACAUGUGAAGAGCUAGUGGGCUGGAAGCUUGAGGACUUGGAAAAAGAGUCAAUUAUCUCUUUAAAUGAAAUGGGAUCUCAUCCAAGCUAAAUAGAAUCAGGAUAUUGCGGGAUUAAGUGUUUUGAGUGUAUCACAUAAAUUCCCUCACAUACACAUUUCUAGAAUGUUUGAAAAUAUAAUUGUACUAUAAUUAUACAUACAYCUAAUUGAAAAAACGUAGUCGUGUUCGAAAAGGUCACAUCAUAGAAKCUAAGAC